Molecule: ribosomal RNA, 373 nt
Filed under: uncultured eukaryote
Lineage: Eukaryota
Description: bacterial SSU rRNA
Rfam family: Eukaryotic small subunit ribosomal RNA
Source: RNAcentral
UCGGCAUGUCUUAGUAAGACUAUCUCACAGUGAAACUGCGAAUGGCUCAUUAAAUCAGCUAAGGUUCCUUAGAUCGUACAAUCCUACUUGGAUAACUGUAGUAAUUCUAGAGCUAAUACAUGCAACAAGCUCCGACCUUCCCUGGGAAGAGCGCUUUUAUUAGAUCAAAACCAAUCGGUUCCUUCGGGUUCCGUCCAAUUGGUGACUCUGGAUAACUUUGUGCUGAUCGCAUGGCCACGAGCCGGCGACGUAUCUUUCAAAUGUCUGCCCUAUCAACUUUCGAUGGUACCUGAUAUGGCUACCAUGGUUGCAACGGGUAACGGGGAAUGGGGCGGGGGCGGCGGGCCGGGCGCGGGGCGCGGCGGGCGAGACA